This 2900-nucleotide ribosomal RNA is filed under the name Shigella flexneri K-315. RNAcentral describes it as "bacterial LSU rRNA". It matches the Rfam family "Bacterial large subunit ribosomal RNA". Lineage: Bacteria; Pseudomonadati; Pseudomonadota; Gammaproteobacteria; Enterobacterales; Enterobacteriaceae. The record is from RNAcentral.
UAAGCGACUAAGCGUACACGGUGGAUGCCCUGGCAGUCAGAGGCGAUGAAGGACGUGCUAAUCUGCGAUAAGCGUCGGUAAGGUGAUAUGAACCGUUAUAACCGGCGAUUUCCGAAUGGGGAAACCCAGUGUGAUUCGUCACACUAUCAUUAACUGAAUCCAUAGGUUAAUGAGGCGAACCGGGGGAACUGAAACAUCUAAGUACCCCGAGGAAAAGAAAUCAACCGAGAUUCCCCCAGUAGCGGCGAGCGAACGGGGAGCAGCCCAGAGCCUGAAUCAGUGUGUGUGUUAGUGGAAGCGUCUGGAAAGGCGUGCGAUACAGGGUGACAGCCCCGUACACAAAAAUGCACAUAUUGUGAGCUCGAUGAGUAGGGCGGGACACGUGGUAUCCUGUCUGAAUAUGGGGAGUACCAUCCUCCAAGGCUAAAUACUCCUGACUGACCGAUAGUGAACCAGUACCGUGAGGGAAAGGCGAAAAGAACCCCGGCGAGGGGAGUGAAAAAGAACCUGAAACCGUGUACGUACAAGCAGUGGGAGCACGCUUAGGCGUGUGACUGCGUACCUUUUGUAUAAUGGGUCAGCGACUUAUAUUCUGUAGCAAGGUUAACCGAAUAGGGGAGCCGAAGGGAAACCGAGUCUUAACUGGGCGUUAAGUUGCAGGGUAUAGACCCGAAACCCGGUGAUCUAGCCAUGGGCAGGUUGAAGGUUGGGUAACACUAACUGGAGGACCGAACCGACUAAUGUUGAAAAAUUAGCGGAUGACUUGUGGCUGGGGGUGAAAGGCCAAUCAAACCGGGAGAUAGCUGGUUCUCCCCGAAAGCUAUUUAGGUAGCGCCUCGUGAAUUCAUCUCCGGGGGUAGAGCACUGUUUCGGCAAGGGGGUCAUCCCGACUUACCAACCCGAUGCAAACUGCGAAUACCGGAGAAUGUUAUCACGGGAGACACACGGCGGGUGCUAACGUCCGUCGUGAAGAGGGAAACAACCCAGACCGCCAGCUAAGGUCCCAAAGUCAUGGUUAAGUGGGAAACGAUGUGGGAAGGCCCAGACAGCCAGGAUGUUGGCUUAGAAGCAGCCAUCAUUUAAAGAAAGCGUAAUAGCUCACUGGUCGAGUCGGCCUGCGCGGAAGAUGUAACGGGGCUAAACCAUGCACCGAAGCUGCGGCAGCGACACUAUGUGUUGUUGGGUAGGGGAGCGUUCUGUAAGCCUGUGAAGGUGUACUGUGAGGUAUGCUGGAGGUAUCAGAAGUGCGAAUGCUGACAUAAGUAACGAUAAAGCGGGUGAAAAGCCCGCUCGCCGGAAGACCAAGGGUUCCUGUCCAACGUUAAUCGGGGCAGGGUGAGUCGACCCCUAAGGCGAGGCCGAAAGGCGUAGUCGAUGGGAAACAGGUUAAUAUUCCUGUACUUGGUGUUACUGCGAAGGGGGGACGGAGAAGGCUAUGUUGGCCGGGCGACGGUUGUCCCGGUUUAAGCGUGUAGGCUGGUUUUCCAGGCAAAUCCGGAAAACUAAGGCUGAGGCGUGAUGACGAGGCACUACGGUGCUGAAGCAACAAAUGCCCUGCUUCCAGGAAAAGCCUCUAAGCAUCAGGUAACAUCAAAUCGUACCCCAAACCGACACAGGUGGUCAGGUAGAGAAUACCAAGGCGCUUGAGAGAACUCGGGUGAAGGAACUAGGCAAAAUGGUGCCGUAACUUCGGGAGAAGGCACGCUGAUAUGUAGGUGAAGUCCCUCGCGGAUGGAGCUGAAAUCAGUCGAAGAUACCAGCUGGCUGCAACUGUUUAUUAAAAACACAGCACUGUGCAAACACGAAAGUGGACGUAUACGGUGUGACGCCUGCCCGGUGCCGGAAGGUUAAUUGAUGGGGUCAGCGCAAGCGAAGCUCUUGAUCGAAGCCCCGGUAAACGGCGGCCGUAACUAUAACGGUCCUAAGGUAGCGAAAUUCCUUGUCGGGUAAGUUCCGACCUGCACGAAUGGCGUAAUGAUGGCCAGGCUGUCUCCACCCGAGACUCAGUGAAAUUGAACUCGCUGUGAAGAUGCAGUGUACCCGCGGCAAGACGGAAAGACCCCGUGAACCUUUACUAUAGCUUGACACUGAACAUUGAGCCUUGAUGUGUAGGAUAGGUGGGAGGCUUUGAAGUGUGGACGCCAGUCUGCAUGGAGCCGACCUUGAAAUACCACCCUUUAAUGUUUGAUGUUCUAACGUUGACCCGUAAUCCGGGUUGCGGACAGUGUCUGGUGGGUAGUUUGACUGGGGCGGUCUCCUCCUAAAGAGUAACGGAGGAGCACGAAGGUUGGCUAAUCCUGGUCGGACAUCAGGAGGUUAGUGCAAUGGCAUAAGCCAGCUUGACUGCGAGCGUGACGGCGCGAGCAGGUGCGAAAGCAGGUCAUAGUGAUCCGGUGGUUCUGAAUGGAAGGGCCAUCGCUCAACGGAUAAAAGGUACUCCGGGGAUAACAGGCUGAUACCGCCCAAGAGUUCAUAUCGACGGCGGUGUUUGGCACCUCGAUGUCGGCUCAUCACAUCCUGGGGCUGAAGUAGGUCCCAAGGGUAUGGCUGUUCGCCAUUUAAAGUGGUACGCGAGCUGGGUUUAGAACGUCGUGAGACAGUUCGGUCCCUAUCUGCCGUGGGCGCUGGAGAACUGAGGGGGGCUGCUCCUAGUACGAGAGGACCGGAGUGGACGCAUCACUGGUGUUCGGGUUGUCAUGCCAAUGGCACUGCCCGGUAGCUAAAUGCGGAAGAGAUAAGUGCUGAAAGCAUCUAAGCACGAAACUUGCCCCGAGAUGAGUUCUCCCUGACUCCUUGAGAGUCCUGAAGGAACGUUGAAGACGACGACGUUGAUAGGCCGGGUGUGUAAGCGCAGCGAUGCGUUGAGCUAACCGGUACUAAUGAACCGUGAGGCUUAACCU